ACGGGCUGGCUCUGCCUUUCUGCAGCUGGGGACGCAUAGGAAAUUGAAAUUUACAACACCGUGGGCACUGCCCCUCCUCUGAAACAGUUCCUGGAAUAUCCCAAACUGGAGGUCUCACAGGGGCCACUGGUGAGGAGGGGCUGCUGAUGAGUACUAGAUGAGCCACUGAACUUCUCAACAUCCUGCUCCAGUUGAACGAAGCUAUCCAAUUUUCAUUUCUUCUGCUUUUGGUAAAGAAUAGUCUGGAGCUCCCCAGCUCCCUACUCUCAGAGUGUUGUUUUGGAUGAAGCUGA
Zalophus californianus (California sea lion) is the source of this 293-nucleotide long non-coding RNA. RefSeq lists it as uncharacterized. The record is from RefSeq and is a predicted model, not a curated record. The transcript has 3 exons. NCBI's taxonomy places the organism in Eukaryota, Metazoa, Chordata, Mammalia, Carnivora, Otariidae.